RNAcentral lists this microRNA precursor (90 nucleotides) under Cajanus cajan (pigeon pea). RNAcentral describes it as "miRNA gene-KK1_029952". Lineage: Eukaryota; Viridiplantae; Streptophyta; Magnoliopsida; Fabales; Fabaceae. The record is from RNAcentral.
AAUUAAUUUUACUAUUCUAGAAAAUACUUUACAAAAAUGUGUUAUUUUACAUAAUUUUGAAAAGUUCUUUCCAAAAUAGUAAAUUUAAUG